RNAcentral lists this ribosomal RNA (1384 nucleotides) under metagenome. RNAcentral's name for it is "bacterial SSU rRNA". It matches the Rfam family "Bacterial small subunit ribosomal RNA". The record is from RNAcentral.
GGGAUAACUACUGGAAACGGUAGCUAAUACCGCAUAACGUCGCAAGACCAAAGAGGGGGACCCUCGGGCCUCUUGCCAUCGGAUGUGCCCAGAUGGGAUUAGCUUGUUGGUGGGGUAACGGCUCACCAAGGCGACGAUCCCUAGCUGGUCUGAGAGGAUGACCAGCCACACUGGAACUGAGACACGGUCCAGACUCCUACGGGAGGCAGCAGUGGGGAAUAUUGCACAAUGGGCGCAAGCCUGAUGCAGCCAUGCCGCGUGUAUGAAGAAGGCCUUCGGGUUGUAAAGUACUUUCAGCGGGGAGGAAGGGAGUAAAGUUAAUACCUUUGCUCAUUGACGUUACCCGCAGAAGAAGCACCGGCUAACUCCGUGCCAGCAGCCGCGGUAAUACGGAGGGUGCAAGCGUUAAUCGGAAUUACUGGGCGUAAAGCGCACGCAGGCGGUUUGUUAAGUCAGAUGUGAAAUCCCCGGGCUCAACCUGGGAACUGCAUCUGAUACUGGCAAGCUUGAGUCUCGUAGAGGGGGGUAGAAUUCCAGGUGUAGCGGUGAAAUGCGUAGAGAUCUGGAGGAAUACCGGUGGCGAAGGCGGCCCCCUGGACGAAGACUGACGCUCAGGUGCGAAAGCGUGGGGAGCAAACAGGAUUAGAUACCCUGGUAGUCCACGCCGUAAACGAUGUCGACUUGGAGGUUGUGCCCUUGAGGCGUGGCUUCCGGAGCUAACGCGUUAAGUCGACCGCCUGGGGAGUACGGCCGCAAGGUUAAAACUCAAAUGAAUUGACGGGGGCCCGCACAAGCGGUGGAGCAUGUGGUUUAAUUCGAUGCAACGCGAAGAACCUUACCUGGUCUUGACAUCCACGGAAGUUUUCAGAGAUGAGAAUGUGCCUUCGGGAACCGUGAGACAGGUGCUGCAUGGCUGUCGUCAGCUCGUGUUGUGAAAUGUUGGGUUAAGUCCCGCAACGAGCGCAACCCUUAUCCUUUGUUGCCAGCGGUCCGGCCGGGAACUCAAAGGAGACUGCCAGUGAUAAACUGGAGGAAGGUGGGGAUGACGUCAAGUCAUCAUGGCCCUUACGACCAGGGCUACACACGUGCUACAAUGGCGCAUACAAAGAGAAGCGACCUCGCGAGAGCAAGCGGACCUCAUAAAGUGCGUCGUAGUCCGGAUUGGAGUCUGCAACUCGACUCCAUGAAGUCGGAAUCGCUAGUAAUCGUGGAUCAGAAUGCCACGGUGAAUACGUUCCCGGGCCUUGUACACACCGCCCGUCACACCAUGGGAGUGGGUUGCAAAAGAAGUAGGUAGCUUAACCUUCGGGAGGGCGCUUACCACUUUGUGAUUCAUGACUGGGGUGAAGUCGUAACAAGGUAACCGUAGGGGAACCUGCGGUUG